RNAcentral lists this ribosomal RNA (815 nucleotides) under uncultured bacterium. RNAcentral describes it as "bacterial SSU rRNA". It matches the Rfam family "Bacterial small subunit ribosomal RNA", at positions 8 to 811 of the family's 1533-position model. The record is from RNAcentral.
AGAGUUUGAUCCUGGCUCAGGAUGAACGCUAGCUACAGGCUUAACACAUGCAAGUCGAGGGGCAGCAUUUUAGUUUGCUUGCAAACUAAAGAUGGCGACCGGCGCACGGGUGAGUAACACGUAUCCAACCUGCCGAUAACUCGGGGAUAGCCUUUCGAAAGAAAGAUUAAUAUCCGAUGGUAUAUUAAAACCGCAUGGUUUUACUAUUAAAGAAUUUCGGUUAUCGAUGGGGAUGCGUUCCAUUAGGCAGUUGGCGGGGUAACGGCCCACCAAACCGACGAUGGAUAGGGGUUCUGAGAGGAAGGUCCCCCACAUUGGUACUGAGACACGGACCAAACUCCUACGGGAGGCAGCAGUGAGGAAUAUUGGUCAAUGGCCGAGAGGCUGAACCAGCCAAGUCGCGUGAAGGAAGAAGGAUCUAUGGUUUGUAAACUUCUUUUAUAGGGGAAUAAAGUGGAGGACGUGUCCUUUUUUGUAUGUACCCUAUGAAUAAGCAUCGGCUAACUCCGUGCCAGCAGCCGCGGUAAUACGGAGGAUGCGAGCGUUAUCCGGAUUUAUUGGGUUUAAAGGGAGCGUAGAUGGAUGUUUAAGUCAGUUGUGAAAGUUUGCGGCUCAACCGUAAAAUUGCAGUUGAUACUGGCGACCUUGAGUGCAACAGAGGUAGGCGGAAUUCGUGGUGUAGCGGUGAAAUGCUUAGAUAUCACGAAGGACUCCGAUUGCGAAGGCAGCUUACUGGAUUGUAACUGACGCUGAUGCUCGAAAGUGUGGGUAUCAAACAGGAUUAGAUACCCUGGUAGUCCACACAGUAAACGAUG